This 2602-nucleotide long non-coding RNA is filed under the name Mus musculus (house mouse). Its description in RNAcentral is "predicted gene 4890, transcript variant 2 (Gm4890)". Lineage: Eukaryota; Metazoa; Chordata; Mammalia; Rodentia; Muridae. The record is from RNAcentral.
GUGCUUGGGCGGGAAGUGGGUGGUGAGGGCCGCUCUGGGCUCAGCGUUCCCCACCUGGAAUGCGUCCUGGCUUCGGCUGGCCCGGCCCAACCCUCAGCGGCCGCGGUGCCCAGGCCCACUCCUUCCGCGCCUGGAAACGUGAGACGGGUCACUGAGGACGACGUAGGCAAACUUUGCAGAGCACGUUGCCACCUGUUGGAGUAGCCGCUCCAGCCCCAGUCGAAAUGCACGGCCGAACAAUGGCAGUUCUGAGUGGCUCAGGGGCCCACACUUUCUUUAAAACCGAUGCACUCGUAGUAAUAUUUCUUAUGCCCCACAUCCAGAGGCCUGUGCUCACCACCUCAGCAGUGCCCGGGGAGGUUCGCCAGGCGUGGGCAGGCUCUCCCUUGAAAGCACCUGACCUGGUUCUACCUUGCACUGGGGCUGAAUGUUUCACAAGAAAAGGGAACAGGACUGGACCGCUGGCUGUUCCUUCUUUGAUCCCAGGCAUGAUUUCAGCUUGUAGAAUAAAUGAGAAAUGCCUGUUGGUUUAAUUAAAAGAACCGCAUUGGCUGUGCUAGCCUGCCUGCCUUCUGGUGCCCAAGCAAGUGUACUGAUAAAGGAAUCAAAAGCUGCACACUCAAUUGUCCCAGGGUUUUCUCAUCUAUCUUGACAGCUUUUGAGAAUAUAAGUCAAUUUCUCAAAAGCGGUUUAUUGUAAGCCUUGAAAUAUCCAGUUUCCUACCUGGUACCUUAAAUCAUUACUUUUUCCGUAGGGAUAACUGGUGAACUAUCUCCAAAAUAUAUCCUUCUUGUCCGUUGACUCAGAUAGCUCAUUGGGAAGAAGCCAGCUGUCUCCUCUGGGAUGCUGGCUGGCCUUUGAGGUGGGCCCUGGAGCUACUGCCUGGGGAUCAAUGUACUACCACAACACAGACUAAAUUCCUGGUCCCUUGGGAUAUACCUCCAGUGUAAGACCUCCAGGAAGGACUCCUGCUAGGCCCAAUCACAGAGACUAGUAGGUGUGGUCAGAAAGCCCGGGGCACAGCCUGAUUGGUCAUUGUACAGGCGCGUUACCACUAAGGCUGAGCUUUAGGAGAAGAGCAAGACAAUAUCAAUGGCUAGUGGGGUUCACAUGAAGGCAAGACAUGGACAGCUGCUCCUUCAUCCGUGUUUUUAUCCCCAAGGAACAGCUUUGUGAAAGUGCUCUGUGCUCUCAAGCUGUUGCCAGCAGGGUCUGUCUCUUCAGCGUGGCUUUUAAGAGGAAAGUGCAGCAAACUGGAGCCUUAGCAAAAGGCUGCUCGCUAGCAUGAGAAGCAUUUGAUUCCAGCUUGGAAACAAGGGGUGGGGCAAAGCCUUUUUACCACCUCCACCCCAUCUCUCCCUCUCUCCCUUUCAGAAAGGCAGAUUUAUCUAGUGGUGCAUCCCUUGCCUUCAUGUCAGAGUGUCAGCUUUGUCAUAUUCCUGACUGUUGUUACUAGAAUUUUUUUAAGAUUUAUUUAUUUUAAGAUGUAUUUAUAGAUACUUUUUGCCUGCACACAUAUCUCUGUGGGGGUGCUCUGGAACUAGAGUAUGUGGGUUGUGGGAAUUGAACCCCAGUCCUCUGGAGGAGCAGCCAGUGUUCUUAAUCACUGAGCCAUCUCUCCAGUCCCAAUUACUGGAAUUUCAUAUGAAAGCAAAACCACGGCAUAAAUCUUAGCAAAUUUGAAUUCCAUACUUUUUACCUUUUUCCAUUCACCAGAGAUGAGAUGCAGGUAUAUUCACGUUAAAACAAAAAUGCAAACAAGUCAGAUAAUUAAAAGGAAAUCCAGAUGAUGCUCUCAAACCUGAAGAAACACUUGUGGAGCCAGAUGGAAGCAGAGUAGAGUUGGACUCUGUCACCAUCCCAAGGGAACGAAGCAUCAUGGGCUCUGAUUUGUUCACUUGUUUCUUUAUGUGCGUAUGUACAGGAAUGUAUACUUGUGCUUGCAUGGAAGUCAGAAGAGAGCAUCCUGUCUCCCUCUCCAUCACUGUCUUCUUCCUCUGAGCCAGGGUCUGUCCCUCAACCCAAGGCUCUUGGUCUUCUUGGUUAGGCUAGAAGGCAGCAAGUCCCAGCAAUCCCCCAGUCUCCGGCCCCUUAAUGGAUCAGUCUGGGGGUGUAGAGUGUCUGUGGGAUCCAAACUUGAGAUCGUAGCAAGCGAUCUUAACUGUUGAGCCCUCUUUCCAACUGCUCCCUGUCUUGACAGCAAGAAAAAUCCCAACAUAUACUCUGAGGUCAUGUUGGAACCAUGUGUUUGGAGACAGCAGAGGUUUGGGACAAUCUUUCCAAUCAGGAUGACUCACAGCUGUGAUCAGGGCUUUCUCUUUUAUCAGCUAUACUAUCAGAAAAGAAGACCCUUGUGAGCACAGUGUCUGCCUCAAGCUCUUCAUCUUUUCCACUGUUACAAAAUCUCUGGGGGAGGAUUACACACAGGAUCAUGAGUCCUGUGUAUGAAAUUAUGAUGACUUAUGAAUGAUUACAUUCAUCACAAUUACUGUGAAUAAAAAAUGUUAUGUUUUAAAGGAACACUGGGGAAAUUAUGAAAAGUGAAUUAAGCCAAGAACAAAAGGACAAAUCCAUAUUGCCUGAUUUGUUUUAUAUGAGGUGC